AUAUAUACCGGUCUCUGAGAUUUAAUCAAGCGAGUCUGGGUACAUUGCCUGAAAGUGGGUAAUUCUGAAUGCUUCAUUAAAUCACUUAUGAUUCCUUAGAUCCCGCGUAUACUGCGUAGAUAGUUGUAGCAAUUUUGGGACAAAUAUAUGCAAUUGUCUCGACGAGGGGAUGGGUGGAUAUAUUAAAAGAAAACCAACUGGGGAUAGUUUCGGCUGUCUUUGUUGAAUUCUGCGGUGAGUCUGGAUAACUGAAGUGAUAGUAAUCGGUCUUAUGUCGGGUACGGAUUUUUAAAAUAUCUCCCCUAUCAGUUUGUUGGUAGGUAGUCUACUUACCAUGAUGAUNNNNNNNNNNGGAAUCAAGGUUCGAUUCCCGAGAGGCAGCCGGGUGAGAAUUUCGCACCACAGUAGGGGACCUGAAAAUUACCCAGUCCUGGUAUAGGGUGGAGAGCAGUGACUAAAAUACUGAUACAGGACUCAGUUGAAACCGCACAAUUUGAAUGACGAAAAUUUAAUUCCUUUAACCAGGACGGAUUGGAGGUCAAGUGUAUACUCGCAGCCGCGGUGAAUCCAGCUCUGAAGGUGUCUAU
Molecule: non-coding RNA, 587 nt
Filed under: Trichobilharzia regenti
Lineage: Eukaryota; Metazoa; Platyhelminthes; Trematoda; Strigeidida; Schistosomatidae
Description: Eukaryotic small subunit ribosomal RNA
Rfam family: Eukaryotic small subunit ribosomal RNA
Source: Rfam by way of RNAcentral